AUGUCGAGCCGAAUAGCAAGAGGUCGUCACAGUCGUCGUUCUGGAGUGUAAUGGCGAUUCGUUCGGCUUGUUUACCAGCGCCGGAAACUGCAGUAUUCUUGCAUGCUUCCGCUACUUUCAGUGUCUAUGAAACUGCGUUCUUGUGAAUCAACAACGAGCAACUUUUUGUCGAUGUGUUAUGUGUUUCUUGAAAAAGUUGCCGAUUGCUUCUUCGUGUUUUUGUUGACGUUAGUUCCUGUCUGCAUGGAAACCGAGAAUUUUCUUCAGAAAGAGCUUUAAUAAAUACGAAUCAGAAUAGAAAGAGAAAAACGACCCGCUUAUUCGCAUCCGUAAAAUUUCAUUUCGAAAACGUAUCCUUCCUUUUAUACAGAAUAUUAAUAAACGUUCUCUGAGAGCCAACGUUCCACCUCGAAAAUGAUAAAAUGGAAAAUGGUCAACGGAGUGUCGUCGUGUAUUCAAAGUAUAUGCUCGAGAUACGGACGAGUAUCUCGUAAGGAUGCUAAUUAAUUAAGAAUCGAGGAUGCCGAAUAUGAAUUUCUCAGACUUUGCCGGAUUUCCCGCUUUUUAUUCGAAUUAUUUGAAAGCCGUUGCGUUUCUAUGGCGAGUUUUUCAAACGAGAGAUUCGCUUUAUAGAAAGUUCACUCGUGGAAAUGCAAUUUGGAUGGAUAUAAGUCGUGUGAUUCCACAGUAGUGUUAAUUAACACGAUUGGAUGCCACAUGGAUGAAAUUUAACCAACUUGGAUGUCUCGAUGAUUGCACGUGAACCGAGAAAUGAGAAAUCUCAAUCGAUUGGCUAUAUAUACAUACAUAUAUACUUGUCUGGUACACGGCUACACAGGAAUAUAUUUGCAUUUGUGAAAGGAUUAUCAACACAUCUUCUAUGAUUUCAAUUUGAUUAUUAUUAAGUAAAUGGAUAUUAAUAUUGAUAAAUUAUUUAAUUACUUUUUUUUUUACAGAUAAUUUUAUAGAAUUAAAAUUUACAAGGCAUAGAAAUUGAAAGUUGUGCAAAGGUAUACUGACAUAUAAGAUGUAAUCUUCUUUCAUGACAAUUGAUAUAAGAUAUUUUCUUUUUAACCGAAAAAAUGAAAAUAUUUCAUCUAUAACAUUAUCUAUAGGUAAUCACAAUUCAGAGGAAUUGCAGCUGUUAUAUUUAAAUAAUGAUUUUUAACAUUUAUUUAAAAUAUAUAUAAAUCCUCUUACUACUGAAUUCAAAAGUCAUAACUCUAGUCAUUCUUCGUUAAACUAACUGAACUAUGUUAAAAUUUAAAAAAUUUUUCUUAUUUCCUAUAAAAAAAAAAUCAGAAAUAAUUUAAAUAUUUCCAAAGGUAGUUGCAAAUCAGAAAGAAUUGUCACCUAUAGAAAUUUAUAAUAUACAUCUUAUAAAACUUUUAAAUAAUUUUAAAAUGUACACUUCCUUCUUUCCCUCGAUAAGAACAAAUAUGCGAUCGUGACUGGAAAAUGCGUUCUUGGCGCGAAAUGUUAUCGUUCGCUCGAAUCAACGUGUACACAAGAACCAUCAGAGUUUGGCCAUUGUCAAGGGGCAACGAUGCGUGCUCGCUACGACGUUCCGGAAACGUGGCAAGGAUGAAAGGAGAAAGAGAGAAAGAGAGAGAGUUUGGCGAGUCCAAGGAGAAGAGACGUCGGUGCACCGGUUCCAGAUUUACGUUCGACCCGCGAAAGACACGGGAAACGUGCUCGUGUGUGACCCAGAUCGUUAACGAGAUGUUUCGUCGAUUAAAUAAUGGGAGCCCAUUGCGGAUUCGUGAGCGAAUAAGAUGGUCGAAAGUUGUUCUGAAUCGAGGCAAGCGCUUUGCUCGAUCACGACCAUCCUUCACCUCGUCGAACAGGAAAGUUGUGCACUUUUUUUUUUAAAUAAUGUAUCGUAGAGGUCAUUGCAGGGUGAAGAGGAACGAUGAUGCCAAUGAUUUCCGGGAUAUAAUUUUCUUUGGAAAGUGUCUACUAUGUUAUCUUUUAAGAAAGGUGAAAAUUUAGGAAUUAAUGAAAGGGGGAUAAAGGAUGUCUUUUUGCUGUAAAAUUUUAUGAUCAAUCUCUGGUCAUUCUGAUAUAUUUGCUAUAAAUUUUAUCAAAUAGUAUAUGCGGUGUUUGACAUGUAAUUUAUGCCAUAAUUUUUCCUUCAAUUCAGAAUAUUGAUUGAUGAUAUGUAAUCUAUCAAAUUCAAACUUAAAUGAUAUUAAGAUGACUGAAAUGCAAUUAUGAAUUUAUAAGUACGAAUAUGAACAUAUGUGCAUGAAAAUAAUAUAGAGAAGAAAGUACAUAUUAAAAGAGGAAUUAGAAAGUGAAUGAAAAUCAUUAACGUUAAUGUGAAAAAUUAUUGUUCACGGGUAAAGAUUCGAUUUCAAAAUUCGAUUUCAGGCUAUCCAAUUACUCGAUAUAAUGUCAUAAUUGAAGAAACGUGAAACUAAAUGAUACUCGAUAAAGACAAGAAAUAUCGUUGUAAUAGGCGCGUUAGAUUAGUCAUGUCUUUCGAAUUACAACGUGAAAGGAAACGAAUGGUAGAUAUCAUUCAGUCGCGUGUUUAUAUUUAACGGUACAGGUAAUUACGAUCAAUACAACGCCUUAUACUUGUACGUUUAACGGUACAUAUAAUUACGCGCAACAGAAAUAGUGCAUUCCUACUGUCACAGAAAAUACAAUAAUAUCGAACUUAUAUAAUUUGAAUCUCUAUAAUUCAAAAAUUUUUAUAAGACUAAAAUUUUCUUUAUUCGUGUCGUUAUACAUUAUAUCAUAUAUUUAUAGAAGACUCGUAACAGAUAUGGAUUUAUAAAAUUUGUGAAAUAGAUAACUAUCAGCUGAUAGGAUCAGAUAUAUUAUAGAAUUUAUGGAAUUCGAAUCAGAUAUGAACAAAUAAUGAAUAACUUCUUAUUCUGUCAUCUAUGCUUCAUAAAUUUCAGGUUUACGAUAUGUUGUUAAAUUAUUGAGAGUAAUAAACAGACAAAACUAUCUGACAAUAAUAAUCAUAAUGUUCAUAUAAAUUUUCUAGAUAUAAAAAAAUAUUGAAAAUCCAUUUUUACGUUCAAAAAAUAUUCUUGGAUUUUUAUUUUGAAUCAAUAUAUUAAGAGAAUUUAAUAAGCAAUCUUUUAUAAUAUAAUUAUUGUAAAUUAAUUGUGAUUAGUAAUUAGAUUACAUAAUUAUAAAAUAAAGAUUCUUCAUUUUAUUUGAUAUUACAAUAAUCAGACGUCAGAAUAAAAAUUUAUAUUUUUUUGAUCAUGGUUGACAGUCAUCUGGAUCAUUUAUCUCCAAAGUUCCCUAGGCUCAGGAUUCUCUUAGUUCUAGAGUCACUGAGAUAUCAACCUUAAUCCUCAGAUUAGAGAUCAAAUAGUGUCAGUAUCCCUGAAUUAUAGCCCAGGCCCAGAAUUAUGCUUAGGAUUAAUUAAUUAAACCCUAGUAUUAAAGUUAAUUUGGAUUUUGUUUGUAUCAGAGCUUCUUUGUUCUUAGAAUUUUCUCUUAAAGUUUUAGUGAUCGUAUAAUCUGAAUAUUCUUAUGACCAUAAAAUUAUCUUUUGUGUUUUUUUUUUUGUUUUAAGAUCUUCUUUGACUUUGAUGAGUUAAUUUGAAUCCUAAAAAUGUUUUGGAAUAUAAUUAAUUAAAUUAAUCUUGAGAUUAAUGCCAAUAUUCAAGAUAAAAUCAUAAUGAUUUUGAAAUUAAGAUCAUAUAACACCAAUUUUGAUAUUAUGAGAAUCUUUAAUUAAAGUUAAAAAAAAUAUCUUGCUUUGGAUAUUUAUUAAUAUAUUUUCAAUAAUACAAUUAUGAAUCUGUAAUAGUUAUCAAUUAUUAAAUUAUAAUUAUAUAAUGAUAUAAUUGCGCAAAUAAAUUUUAAUAACAGCUACAAUGAAUUUUAAUCACACACAAAUUAAAAAAUUAAGAUAUGAAUAUAUUUACCAAAUUUUAUUUAAUGUACAUUUUUAUUUAUCAAAUAUAAAAAAUCAUAUUUACUUUAACUGGAAUAGACAUUAAAUUUAAUCCAAAAUUUAAUAUUGUUUUAAUUAAUAUCUUUAAUAAACACGAUGAUGACAAAAUAUACACAUCUAACUAUGUUAAAAUAUAAAGACAAAAAUAAAUCAAAAAAGUUUGCAUCGUAAUACGUCAAAAGAUAUCCAAUUUCAAGUAAUGAAAAAAAAAGUAAUGAAUGUUCGAUGGCAUUUUUAUUUCCGGUAUAGAAUAUUUGACAAUUCACCGAAUAAAGAUUUUAAAUUAUUACGAUACAUUUCCGUCCUCACUGUUAUUAUUAUUCGUUCAUCCACGUGAUUUCGCAUUUCAUGUUUAUCGGUCGUUGUUCUCGGCAGAUUAAUCAUCGCGCAUUAUACGUACGUAUCGUGUACGUUAUCGAUCUCUUGACACACAUAUGACCUGAUUUAUAUUCGGAUAACGGUGGAAAAGAAUUAGGUCGUGGGAUGGGUGAAUACGCGAAAUCAACGAGCGUAUCGUUAAGUUCGCGGAUUUAUCGAGAGAAGAGGCGAUCUCUCGAGGAACACUGCUUAAUUAAUUUCAAUUUUCGCUCGUGAAUAAUAUCUCGAAGAAUAAUCGUUGCUAUAUGGUUAAUAUUUUUAAUUGAGAUUUAAUUAACGCGAAUCGCGUUUUCGAUUUGUCGUCACUUUUGCUUGAACAGUUAAAUAAAGUUGCGAAGUACAAUUAUAAGGAUUAUAAGGAUAAAAAUUUUUUGGCUUUUAAUUGAUUCGUUUUUAUCUUUAUUAUUACUAAUAUUUUUUUGUUUAUGACUAAUUUUUAGAGACUUCGAUAUUUAUUUUUAAUUUUUAUUAAUUUGGUUUUACUAUAAUAUAUGUAAAUUUUUCAAUUGAUGUAGAUGAGAGAAUUCAUUCAUUAAAAUUAAUAAUUGUUAGUAUUAUAUUUAAUUUAUGACUUAUAAAAUUUCAUUUUUAACAUUUCGAUUUGUGCAAAAAUAUGUGUAUAUAAAAAUUUUUUAAAUCAAUAUUUGUUAUUUAAUUUUAAAAAUGAUAAUUUCGAAAUAAAUAAGAAUAUGUAUCAUAAUUUCAAAAUAUAUCUAUCUAUUUAAAAUUUCAAAAUAUAUUCAAUUUUUAGAACUAUUUAUUUAUCUUCCUUUUUUUUAUAUAAUUUAAUUAAAAAACUUUUAGGUUAUCUACCUUUGCACAUAAUUUAAAUUCUUUGUGUAUUACUUAAUUAGAUAUUCAAAGUAUUACGCUUUCGUUGGAAUUUACUUCGACAAUGAAUUCCAAUAUUCAAGUGCUUAACCUAGUUUCUGAACUGUAACUGUUUUUAUUUUCAGAUACUGUCUCUGAUAAAUUUGUCUAAUAAGAUCUCCUGUAUUCAAGUUUAUUCCAUUACAAAUUCAUCAUGAAGAUUUAUCUUGACUCAAAAAAUAAACGUUGCUAUUAUAAUUUAUUCAUAUCUUUAAAUUUUAUUAAAAAGAUGAAUAAUAUUGAAAAUUUUAAAUUAUUAUAUAUAAAUGUUAUUAAAAUUUAUUUGUUAAAUUUUAGUGAAAAAAAAAAUAAAAAAAUGAAAAAUUAUUGAUAUAACUAUAAUUUUUCUGUAUUAUACUAUCUAUAUAAAAUCAACCAUUUGAAUAAUUAAAAAUAUCAAUAUCGUAGAAAAGGAUUGGACCCGAAUAUUGACGAAAAAUUAUCACAAUAACUGCUUUUAAGGAUCAUUUUAAUUAAUAGGAUUUAGAAUUUCUGUUGUACAGUAAAUAGCUCAGAUGAAAAUAUCUUUUAAUUUAGAUAUAAUAUAUUUUGCAUGAUACAGAAUACACAACAUGUAAAAUAACAUAGAUUGAUUUCAUUAAGAAAUAUUAAUUGGAAAAGUAUUGGAUAAAAUAUUAUUCCAAAUAAUAGAUAACAAAUAAUAUAAUUUAUUUUAAUUUUUAUGUCAACAAUUACCCAAAGUUUUACUUGUAAUUUUCCUUUCUUUAUUAUAAUUAGUAUAAAUUUGAGAUUUAAGUGUUAUAUAGAUGUACAAAACUUUUAGGUUAUCUAUCAGUUUCUUUUGAAGGUUUGAAAAAAAGAAGGUGAAAUAAGGUUUGAAAUAAAAAUUAAUAAAUGAAAAAAUGUUUGUGUGUAAUUCUUAUUUGAAAAAAAGAAAUAUUUGUUACAUAAUUUUAUUAUUUUUAAUUUAAUUUGUCAUAAUACGAAUUAUGAAAUUAAACUUUGUAUUAAUUUUAUUAAAAUCAAAAAAUUUUUAAAAAUAAAAAAUAAAUAAUUAUUUAUAACAUAAUUAAAAAGUAAUAUUUCUAGAAACUAGAAUUUGAGAGAUAUAUAAAAAUAGAAAGAUGAAAAUAAGCUUUUUAACUUAGCAAUGUCUUCAAAUAUUAACCUAACCUAAAUACUUCCGAUUAAUACUUCCAAUAAACAAAACAAUAUUAUUCAUAUUUUCUUUUCAAUAAUCAACCAAUCAAAACUUCUUCACAAAACAGAAAAAAAAUCUCUCAAAAUCAUAAACGAAGCUAUUUGUUAAAGAGUGACAAUUUUCAACGAACACAACUCGACAAUAAACUGAGAGGGCCGGCCCUGGAAUCGGUUGCCUGUUGGAAAUACCAGCACGUAUCGGCACUAGAGGCACACUCGCACACUGCACUUCUGCAUGGCGGAGUACGAACGGACGAACACACAGUCGGUUGGAAUACGAAUGCUGUGACCCGAGUAAAUAUAUGCGAUGCGCGCCGCUUCCUUGUAAACAAGGGCUGCUAAAUGCCGUGAAGUGGCUCUCCGACUCGGGUCGAGGCCGCGUUCCAAACUUCUCCGUACAACCGUCGCGUCCUCUACCAUCCUGCGAGAACUCUCAAACACUGCGAUGCAACUCGAACGAGUUUCCGCUAUUGUCAGCUCAACCCUGUAGUCUGUUGCUACUCGCCUGCUAAUUUGAUUAUUCCAACCCGAUUCGACGAUGUGGUUUCAUGGCGCCGGCUGUUUCCUCACCUGACAUUCUCCAUCGCUUUUCCUUUACGUUGCAGUUAUGUUGGAUCUUCGACGCGAUGAAUUAAAAGGAACGAUAAUCGUUUUGUUUGUAUAAAAUAAAAGAAUUAAUUUUUCAAAUAAGAUUCAAUUUAAAUUAAUCUUUUGUUAUGUCAUAAUAAUGGAUCUAUGAUAAAUCCAUCUACUAUCUACGUUGAAUUACUAUUUUUAAACUAUAUUAAACCUUCAAAACAAUGAAUUAAAAGGAAACAAAACAACGUUUAAAAGGAACAAUAAUGGUUUUCUUUGCACAAGAAAGGAUUAAUAUUUUAAGUUAUAUUGGAUGUUCGACAAGAUGAAUUAAGUUAAAAUUAAGAAACGAUAAUUAAGAUUUAUAAAAUUCAUAAAAUGAAAAGAUCAAUUUAAAGUUUAAAGUCAUCUUUUAUUUAAUUAUAUUAUUGACGUUGAAUUUGAUAUAGACAACUAGGAAAAUAGUUCUAAACUCUUGGCCAGUACGUCAAAGCAACCGAAUUCAAAACAAGAUUCCAACAACACGAUUCCUAUCAUUCUCCUGUUUCAUCCAUCAGCUUCUCAACUUUCUCAAUCUCUGAAUUGGUUCCUCGCGGGAACAAAUCCUCUCUUGGAUCUCGUACUUUACUUCAAACUUUGGUCUCUCCACGGUAUACCUUUCAACAUUAUACUAUCGAUAUUUUCAAAUCCUAAGGCUCAAUUAACUUUUAUAUUUAUAUUAAAAAUAUUUAAUAUCAUUUAAUUUUAACAAUUUCCUAAUAAUAAAAUUGUUAUUUUUUUAACGAGUAAGAUGAAAAAUUAAGUUAUUAUUAGAAAUGAAAGGAUAUCCUAUUAGUAUAAAGUUUUAUUUUAUAAUCAUCUUUCUCUAAUAAGAAACAGAACAUUCGUUAAAGGACAUAGCUAAUCUUCACUAAACCAAAGGGACACCCGAGACAGAUUCCAUAAGCGUACACAGGCGCGAGUCAUAAUUUAUGGUCACAUUUAUGCACCUCUUUCGCUUUCCCGAUGCACUUUCUACAGACGAUCUCUAUGCUGCAAUGGAGGAGAGACAUCGGGUAUCUCGUUUUCUUUCUCCUCUCCACAUUACCGAUUCCCACUUUCUCCCUCUCUGUCUCACGCAGUCUCUCUUAUUAACUGUCGUUUCUCUCGUUCCGCCUUUUUCUCUCUUUCCACACGGUGCACUAGGCGCACGUUACGCAAUUCCAAAGAUAUAUGGUCGCUUCAGGAAUAUCUUCGGCCGGUCUCACGCGUGGUACCAUUUACUGGGUGGCGAUUCUCACUUUUAUUCGAGUACCACCAAAUAUUUCUAAAUAAUUUCUAUUUUAUCUUCUGAAGAGAAAAAAACGAGAAAGCAAUCAAAAUAUAAAAUAAUCAAUUGAAUGUGACAAUAUCCUAAUCAAAAUACGAUGGAAAAUCAAAGAUAAAGACAUUCCAAUGUCGAUUUAUUCGUUCGAUGUCACAGAUUUUCGAGAUGAUUAUUGGGAUGAGAUUAUAUGGACAGUGAACAGGUGUUGUGCAACGAAAACGCGGAAAUGCAAUGUCGAUAAACUCGCCUAAGCGAGAGAGACCCAGACGACCGGCGUCGCCAGACUCUCACUUGCCUUCCCCUAUCUCCUCUGCCCGUUUCUCUGGCACGUUACAGAAAUACACCGAGAAAAUUAUGUCACUAAUGCGCCUGGAUAUAUCUCUAGGCGUGGAAAAGCCGUUUCGUUGCGUCGUGAGGUUGACUGGAACAUCCUGAGCUCAAAAGGCGGUUGCUUUUCCCUAUUCCAAUGGUCAUUAAAUUUUUUUGUGUUAUUCAUUUUAACAAAAAUAUUAAUUAGGAUACUAAAAAAAGAAUUAAUAAAAAAUAAAAUUGAUAUUUAUUGUUAUAAAUUA
Apis cerana (Asiatic honeybee) is the source of this 8791-nucleotide long non-coding RNA. RefSeq lists it as uncharacterized. Lineage: Eukaryota; Metazoa; Arthropoda; Insecta; Hymenoptera; Apidae. The record is from RefSeq and is a predicted model, not a curated record.